GACGAAGGAUGCAAGCGUUAUCCGGAUUCAUUGGGUUUAAAGGGAGCGUAGGUGGCCUUAUAAGUCAGUGGUGAAAUCUCUGGGCUUAACCCAGAAAUUGCCAUUGAUACUGUAGGGCUUGAGUAUAGUUGCCGUUGGCGGAAUAUGACAUGUAGUGGUGAAAUACAUAGAGAUGUCAUAGAACACCGAUUGCGAAGGCAGCUGACGAAACUAUAACUGACACUGAGGCUCGAAAAGUGCGGGGAUCAAACAGG
This 254-nucleotide ribosomal RNA is filed under the name uncultured bacterium. Its description in RNAcentral is "partial 16S ribosomal RNA". It matches the Rfam family "Bacterial small subunit ribosomal RNA", at positions 524 to 776 of the family's 1533-position model. The record is from RNAcentral.